This 742-nucleotide long non-coding RNA is filed under the name Bos grunniens (domestic yak). RNAcentral's name for it is "lncRNA (ENSBGRG00000016659.1)". Lineage: Eukaryota; Metazoa; Chordata; Mammalia; Artiodactyla; Bovidae. The record is from RNAcentral.
CCCCCUCCCUGAAUGUGGGCGGAGCCGGAAGGCGACGCCGCUGGGAUUGCCAGCGCGGCAGGGGUGAGCGCUGUGGCUGCGGGGGCGGGGCCUACUCAGACAGUCCCAGCCGCAGGGUGGGAGGCGGGGCCAGCGCGGAGAUUGACAAGGGGGCGUUCCGGGAAAGCGUCUGCGUGGCGCCUAGUUAGAGACCGAGCCUGCGCAGUGAGAGGUGGGGAGGGGGCUAGGCGGAGGCUGGAAGGCUGGCCCCCGCCCUGGGUCGAGGUAGGAGCGGACUGGAGGCCCGGGCUCGCCUGGAAACUUAGAUUCUUGGUAUGGUUGGAGAUCUGAGGAGUGUCUUGCAACUGACAUGAUUGUAAAAGUUUUUUUUUUUUAAACGUAUGAAAUGAAACCUCUACUUCAAUCCUCCUACUGCGUACAGUCGCCAAUGUCAACAGUGGAACCGAUCUCUUCAUGGGAGGAGGACCGCAAGUUCGUCCUGCGAGCCUGGUGUCUUGUCUUCAUCAUCCUGGCAACCGCGAUGCUGCUCAGCGUGCUGGACGGGCGUAUGGCCUACCUGCAGGCGCCUACACCGGCUCGUGGGCUUCUGGACCAACUGCAAGAAGCAUACAUGUGCCGACCUGCGCCAAGUCACGGGUCAGUGGGGGAUGGGGCGGGCUUUGGGGCUCUCUAUGGGGUGGUGGUCUUUAGAGAUGAUCAACAGAGAAAACCUCUGGAGGAACCUCUUUGGGUGUUCUUGAUU